GAGAUAAGAUAAAGGUUGAUCACGAUCUCUUCCUCUAAAGAGUAAUAAGUGAAGUAAUAAGUGAAAUGAGUGAUAAAAGAGGACAUCAUAGGAGCUGAAAAGCGUGGAUCCAUUUCUGUGUGUCUGUCAGCUCUGUGUGUGUGUCUGUCAGCUGUGUGUGUAAGCUUCUGCCGCUGAGCAGACGUUAUGUGUUUAAAUGUACUCUUUUAUGUUUAUUGCAAUGUGUUUUAAAACCAUGGUCAAAAUUGGGAAAUUAUAAUCUGUGGGAGGUUUUUGACUUUGUCUGCUGGGUUUGAUUUUCUGCUGGGUUUGAUUUCCUCGCCACCGCGUGAGCAAAACUGCAAAA
Long non-coding RNA from Poecilia latipinna (sailfin molly), 346 nucleotides. RefSeq lists it as uncharacterized. The transcript is spliced from 2 exons. Lineage: Eukaryota; Metazoa; Chordata; Actinopteri; Cyprinodontiformes; Poeciliidae. The record is from RefSeq and is a predicted model, not a curated record.